Long non-coding RNA from Trachemys scripta elegans, 2904 nucleotides. RefSeq lists it as uncharacterized. Lineage: Eukaryota; Metazoa; Chordata; Testudines; Emydidae. The transcript has 4 exons. The record is from RefSeq and is a predicted model, not a curated record.
AGGGCUCCAUGGCGUGUCCUCUUUUUUUAAUUUUUUAAAUAUGGUAACCCUACUAUUUCCCUAUACCCUCCUCCAUUUUAUGCUGAUCUCCUCCCACUGACAUAACAUAAGUGCGAUUAGAUGGGGUCAGACCAUGGUCCAUCUUGCUCAGUAUCCUGUCUCUGACAGUGGUUCAUACGGGAGCUUCAGAAACUGCCUUAACCCUCCAGUGGUGGGGUUCCCCUGCUGGAUACCAACAGGCCCUGCCACACCACUCCCCAGAAAAGGGCAGUAAAGAGGUCCUUCAAGUGGCCUACAGCAGCUGUGUGGGAAGCAACCAAUCGGGGCUCACCAGGCUAGUAUAAGAAGAGCUGCAGGGCCAAAGUGAGACUGGUUCCUUGCUAGAGUUGAAGGAGUGUGGAUGCUAUGUGGCUGGCUGAGGGAGCUGCAGGACCUUGGAUGAGGUAGUGCUGCCAGAAGCUGGGGAGAGCAAGAAGGAGCCCUGAGCUGGUUGCAGGGACUCCAUCAGGACAAGGCCCUGAGACUGUAUGAGUUGGCUGGAGGGCUGAGUCAGCAAAGACCCACCACAAACAGGUAGAGAGUUCAGGCACAUGCACUUGGCCAGGGGGUGCUUGUGAGAGAAUCCUGAAAUGGUCUUCAUCAGAUCUCGCAGAAGGACUUCUCCCUCCUCUUUGAUUAUACUGUACUUUAAAAGAAUUCCCUCAGGACACAUCUGAGUAUGCUGCUAAAGUGUCUGUACUGUGCGUGAAUCUGUUCAUUUCUUAUUAGCUUGGCCAAACACCAUAUUGGAAUCACAGCCCCAAUGUCUUGGAGUGUCCUGUUUUGAACUUUUAGCAAACAGGCCACUGCUGUGGAAAAUUUUGGAUGUCCACUAAAGAUUUCCAGUUGUUUUAUAAGAACAAAUGUGGAAUGGUAUGACUAUGAGAGAGUGUUGCAAUACCUUGACAUAAGGUUAAGGACACUGUACAGCUGUAAGUUUUUAUUAUAUGAAAAUUGCAGCAUGGUGUAAUAAGUUAAUUAGAAAUAGCAAGAGGUUGAUUAUAAUACAGAAUUUCAACAUAUUCUUUAAAAAUGCCAAAAUUACUGGACUCUUCUAUGGAUUUUCUUUUCUUAUCCCAACCCUCUAUAUCCUGCAUACCUAGUGACAACUGUCUGACAAUUCAGAAAAGGUUGAGUUGUGUCCUAAUAAUUCAAGAAACUAAGCUAGAAAAUCUUUCUGCUUUAUAGCACAGUAUUUCUUUAAAAAUCACAGAGUGGAUAACUUUUGACUGCACGUUACAGGAUUCCUUUUGCUUCUUUACAGUAAGGACUGUUACUUCCUGCUCUGCUAGGGUGAGAUUCACUUUAUCUAUAUAAAAUGCCAGUAAUCAGACUUUAUAUGAGCAAACUUUAGAGAGAGAGCUGGGGAGGUGAAAUCACCCCAUUAGUGCAGAGCAAUGUAGCAGGGCAAUUAUGGGCUGAAAUAAUGCUUGCAGCUUCUAUGUGGCCCUUGUGCUAUGUAUUGGGGCUACUCAACUGAUAUAAAUAUAAAUCCCAUGAUCUAUUUCCCACCAUUUAAUGUGGAAGACCUGUCUUCACUUGAUGUUAUGGAGUGCCCAAUCCUUAAUUCGACUUGAUAAUUCAUGUGAAAACUACAAACUGCCAUGUCAUCUCUAGGAUUUUACUGUGAGUUAAUUAAUGUUAGUUAAGAACACACCUUCUCUUCCCGGUGAGAAGAAGGCAGACAAGAAAUAAGGCAUGCACCUGAGGGUAAUUAACUACUGGGAUAACCACCCAGGGCUGUGGUGUACUACCUAUCACUUGAAACCUUUUAGAAAAACAUCUGAUCUUAAUUUAAAGAUGCUCUAACAAUGGGCUUGAUGCAGGAAUUACUGGAUGACAUUCUAUGGCCUGUGGUGGAAAAUGUGAGAAAUUUCUGUAUUAUUUUUAUGAAAAAUGUGUGACUCAUUUUCCCCACUCACUUUAUUGUUAUCCACUGAGUGUGAAGUAGUUAAUUUCGCCUUUGGGAUCAGUGGGGAGGGGGCCGUGCAGUACAAAAUGGGUGUUGGUCACAUUGGGUUAGUAUGAAUUAAUUAACAUGAACUGUCAGUAUAUGAAUAUUGCUGUGGAAAUACACUGGAAGACCAACAGCUGGAUGUUAAGUUUCUAACACCUGGCAGCCCAGGGAAGGAGAACAUGUAGAACCAGACUGGUUGCAACAUGAAGCAAAGAACUGAGGUGUCAGGAUGGGUUAAUAAGAACUCAGCUGACCAGUGCAAGGGAGAGAGAUUUGACUCAUAGCCAAACUUCCCUGCUUUGCCUAUAACAAAAUCUACCUUCCAGGCCAAGGCAAAAGAGGAGCCUCCUUACCUGAAAAAAAGCAGAAGCUAGCAAGUUACAUAUGUAGGUUUUGCUUUAACAUUCUAACUGAAAGACCCUAAAAUACCAUACUCCAAUUGACUAAUAAAUGCUGGCUUGUUUUGAAAAGCCUGUCCCAUGUCACUGCAAAACGUCUGCUGUUGUAUGGCUCCCAGGAGGGUUAUGUCUCCUGCAGGGCAUUCAAGCUCUUUUGGACUCUGCUGAAGAAACCACAGAGGUGCUGAACCCAGAGACCCAGUCUCAGAGCAGUGGAGCCAUGGGGCUCCCCUUUAAGAAAGGGGAGGUGCAUAAGGACUAGACCUAAAGUAGUGUACUCCCAGAGAGACUGUGCAAAGGUUGAAGGCCUAGCACCCUCUGAGGAUCUGAGAUACCUGUGUUAUGCAUGAGCUCUGACUAGAUUAUCCUAAAGAUCCACUCUGGCCUUUUAAUAUGGAAAGCUGGCUUGGAGACCCAUUCCAGGGUGCACAGAGAGCAUGGAGGCAUCUUAAGAGACCACUCUACCCAUAACACCCACACAGCCCCAACACAGGGGGGUUGUAAGAGACA